GGGUGUACUAAGGAGAGUCACCAGUCCCGGUGCUGUGUCGGUUGAGCCAUCGGACAUAUGGCUGGUAGGUACUGGGUUCGCAGCCCGGUACUGGCUACCACCCAGAACGAAAUUUAACAACUGAAUGGAUAAGGUGUACGACUAACCACUAACAACUGGACAGACAGCCCAGAUAACUGAGACUGUCCAAGCCCGUCAACUGUUGACCACGCCCAAACUGCCUUCACCACAAUCUACGAGACGACAAAAGUAGGAAGUCAACUGUCCGACACAGAACGUGUCUCCAAGACGGCACAUGGUCCGAUUUCAAAUGUGAACUUGGUAACCGUCCAAUCGAAGAUGGGUAUAUACUACUUGAAAAUGUGUGCAUCAAGGUGACAAGUGAUAGGACACAAGUUGCUAGAGCACGUGUGAAAUGCGACCAGCCAGGUGACAGAUUGGUGGUCUUGGACACGGACAAGAAAAAUGAAGUUGUCAGUGUCUACGUCAAUAGAACUAUCGGUAAUUUGUUCGUGGGUCAUCUAUAACAAUUGUUAAUAUAAAAUAUCAAUUUUACGAUAUGAUUCCUUCUUUACCACACUGUGAUGUAUCUGGUUAAGUACCAGUAACAAACGUAUAAUUCUGACACAAAUUUAUAUUCACUCAUGAACUAAACACACCAAAAGUACUAAAUAAAAAAUAGCAUAGGAUAUAGCUCAUUGGAAUCAAUGCAAUCUGUGAUGAUAUGCACCCUUGAGUAACUGUUAAAACAGUAAUAAUAGCAGGCAUUUGUCAACAAUAGACGUAUGCUGUCUCACCGGUUGCUCCCGUCAUGAGUACUGCCUCCACAGGUGUCAACUUUAUCACAUCAUCUAAACCGAUAACAAAUGUGUAAGAAUUUCACCAAAGUGAUGAAAAAUUAUACACAAGUUCAGAAUAUGGUAUAGUCUCAGCUGUCAUUUUGGUCAGUAAUGCAACAUGUUUAGUAGAGAGUUUCUGCACAUCAUAACUCAGAACAAUCUGUGUGUCAGAAUGAUACCAGACGUUAUGAUCCCCUGUUUCUCAAGGCAAAUAAUAGUUCUACUAUGAGAGUAGUAGACAAUGGGAGAUCAGUUCUACUGACUGACCAGUACUGCUUCUAAUUAUAGGCACUGCUACUGGAGUUGAUGCUGAACACAUCUAAGUUUAGUAAAUAAUUAUGAGUAAUCAUGAAAGUAAUCGCUGAUUACGAUUACAUUAGCAAUGUAAUCGAUUACGAUUGCGAUUACAUGGCAUUC
Long non-coding RNA from Gigantopelta aegis, 1256 nucleotides. RefSeq lists it as uncharacterized. NCBI's taxonomy places the organism in Eukaryota, Metazoa, Mollusca, Gastropoda, Neomphalida, Peltospiridae. The transcript is spliced from 3 exons. The record is from RefSeq and is a predicted model, not a curated record.